UUUUUUUUUUGUUUUGUCGAUCAUGGCGGAGGAAUUUAGUAGCUUUGAUUUACUCAGAGAUGAUGAUCUCUUCUUCGAUUUCGAUCCUUCAAUCGUCAUACAUGUUCGCUUCAUUUGUGGUAAAGAGUCAUAUUUUACGGCAUGGCCACAUAGUGACAGAGAUCUUUAUUUGUAGAGUGUUGCAGCGACAUGCAGACAUGUAAAAUGUAAAAAGAUUUAUUCUUGCUAAAAGAUAAUGUAACUUUUAAGUUGUAACAAAGUUUCAAUUAUUUUCUAGGACAUAAACAUGAUCCCUUAGAUUUCACGCUAGUGAAGAGACCAUACAUAGAAAGAUGAUAGUUUACACUGCUAUAUAAGCAGCAUAGAAGUCCCCUAUGGAUCUAAGAUUCGGCUAUUCAGAGUUUCUUGUUUUCUUUGAUGUUCAUUGCUUCUUUCUCCAAUAUCUUCUUCUUAGCCUUGGCUUCUCCUUCAAUCUUCUUGCGAGACUUGUUGAACGUUUUCAUGAAAUGGGCCAGCGUUUUGGUCACUGCAGAGAGGGACAAUGGCCAGAUUAGAAAUGAGAACCGCAAAAAUGGGUAAGACAGUAGAAGAACAAACUUGUGAUGGUACCUUCCUCGAUGCUAUUGCGAGCUGGAUACUCAGCUAAGUAGGAAUCUAGAGUUCUUCCCUGUGAGUUACAAAUUAAUUAUAGGAUUUGAAACAUGAUACAAUGUACUCAAAGAUCUAACCGACAAGUUAUAUAGCUCACCGCUUCGUUGUAUAAGUUACAAAGCCACAUUGCUUCAGGCUCAGCUGUAAGAUGAAAAUCAUACACCGCCGCCUAUUACAACAAAAUUCGAGGCAUUGCACCACUCCAAUUAUUUGAAACGAAAAUUAACCACAAUAAAAUAAGAUUUCAGUAGUAGGCAGAGGAGGCAAGUCCUUCACAAGCUCUAAUAUCCCAUCUGAGUCAAUUUCUCGAUCAUCUGAUUCCUCUAUGAUCUACAAGAGCGAGAGAGAGACACUCAACAAAUGUUAUACAUGUAAUGAUAGAUAUAUAUAUAUAUAUAUAUAUGUUUAUGAAGUUUGGUAAUGAAGAUAGAAUUAACACACACAAAAGAAAAACACAUACAGGCAACAGUUCGACAAUAGAAGAAGGCCGGAGAUUGAUGAUAUUGAGAACCUCAGCUUUGGCAACUUUGAAAUCUUUGCACUUAUCUGCGACUAUGUUAAUGCUCUCUCGUGUUUGAGUAUAAGCAGCAGUCUCCACCAAAUAAUCAUAGACCUAAAAUGAUAGCAAAAGCAAUUGACUUCACUUUUAGCCCUCUAUGGCAAAGUCACAUGAGAGAAAAUGAAAAACUUCCAGGCAAGAGGAACCUUGUAUUAUGAUAUAGCAAUUGGAGCUAUAACUCUUGUGGUAUCCUUUGAUGCACCUCUUGAGUUUAACAAGUCAAGCACCUCGAAAUUGGUAAGUGCUCCAGAAUUUGCCUUCACUCUGCGAAACACACGCCAAUUAUUUGAUUACAAAACAGAACUGAAGAUGAAUAGAGUAACACUAAACACAUCAUGAGAUAUGUUAACAGAAUAACAGGGACAUACAUUUUCAUCUAAGCGGUUCUUAAAUUCGUCCAACCAAAAGAAAUCGCUUGUCAAAAUGAAAAGAGACCACUAAUAGACAAUGUCGAAGAGAGUAUUUGUCUGCCACCAGUUUUGCUCCUGAAAACGAAGAAAGUAUUUGUCUGCCAGUCACGAGUGCACUUAAUAAGGAACAAAGAAUAAGUAAAAUUUGGCUUAGGUCGAGGGAUCAAAAUCAUAUUCAUCAUUUUAUGCAUUAUUAUAACACUUGUAAUUUCAUAAAUACAAAUUAAAAUCACAACCUUUAUCCGUAUAUUAUAGAUUGAAGAAUGAUGAAUGUCUUGUAUUACAAACAGAAUACAAAAUGAUGAAUGUCUUGUAUUACAAACAGAAUACAAAUUUAAUCAGAUAGGGAUUGCACAAAAGAUUGAAUUUAGCUUAUGAGGAAUAAAUAAAUUAUCAACAAACAAAGACGAACACCAUUACAAUUAGGAGAAGUUUAAACACUGACUUCAUAGAAAAAUGAUCGAAUCACAGAAGUUCUAAUUCCAUAUUCGACAAUCAAAUCUAAAAAUCAAAACGCAGUUGAGAAACAAUGGUUGUUUGGUGAAAAAUACGCAGAUGAGGUGAACCGUAAACCCUUUUGGUUGGACGAAUUUAAGAACCGUAAACAAAUGUCUUUCAUGAUUUAUUCAAUUAACCGUAAAAAAUUACUAACAAACAUGAUGAGGAAUUUCAGCCCCAUGACAAGAAUCAAAUAAACGAAUACUUUUGAUGAUAAUGAAAACGCAUAGUUAGCUAACCCUAAUACUAAACGAUUAGUUUUUCCUAUGCACGUGAGAAUCCAAGAGUACCUAACUAGUCUCUUACAAAAACAUCGUAGCACAAACAUAUUAAAAAAGACAACAAAUCAUACAAUCCUAUUUAAAAAACCUUCUUUCAACUUCUAACUCAAUUUACUUGGAUUGGGAAUAUAUACUUUGUCUUAUCAUUUUCUAAAGUACGAAACUUAUUCAUUGUCAAGUUUUCCUUUAACACUGAAAUAAUUUUUAUACUCGACAAUAAACGAAAAGGAAGAGGUAUGCAUUAUAUAUGAUUUCGAAUAAAUAACUCAUGAUAAAAAGUAUUUGUUUGGUGAAAAAAAAAAA
Non-coding RNA from Camelina sativa (false flax), 2702 nucleotides. The record is from RefSeq and is a predicted model, not a curated record. NCBI's taxonomy places the organism in Eukaryota, Viridiplantae, Streptophyta, Magnoliopsida, Brassicales, Brassicaceae.